RNAcentral lists this ribosomal RNA (338 nucleotides) under uncultured bacterium. RNAcentral describes it as "bacterial SSU rRNA". It matches the Rfam family "Bacterial small subunit ribosomal RNA", at positions 28 to 372 of the family's 1533-position model. The record is from RNAcentral.
GACGAACGCUGGCGGCGUGCUUAACACAUGCAAGUCGAGCGGUAAGGCCCUUUCGGGGGUACACGAGCGGCGAACGGGUGAGUAACACGUGGGCAACCUGCCCUUAGCUCUGGGAUAACCCCGGGAACCGGGGCUAAUACCGGAUAUCACUUCGAGUGGCAUCGCUCGAAGUUGAAAGGAUUCUGGCUAAGGAUGGGCCCGCGGCCUAUCAGCUUGUUGGUGGGGUAAUGGCCUACCAAGGCGACGACGGGAGCCGGCCUGAGAGGGCGACCGGCCACACUGGACUGAGACACGGCCCAGACUCCUACGGGAGGCAGCAGUGGGGAAUAUUGCGCAAU